AUCCGUUUUGACGAGCAAAGUGAAUAUUCGGCGCGCCGUUUCGCGGCAGCUUAACGCCAAAUAUCGAGAGGACGGAACAAGCACAAUGGGUUCGCGCCUUCCUAAUCCCACGGAAUCUGGCCAUAUGUAAGGAUUACGUUGCUCCGACUCAACAUGGUCGCGUUGUAGCCGUUGCUAAAGCCGCGGACCGGCCAUUAGCUCGGUGACGCGAGCCGAGCUUAGAGACGCUAUCACCGAUGGCUUACCUCCCCCUUUCUUUCCAUCUUACAACACCACCGCUCCCCGAAAGAUGUAACGAGCCGAUAGUUAUCUUCAUCGCGCUUCGAACUAUAUACACCGGAUCCGAGAGAGAGAGGAUAUCGUUCCGAGUAAUGGCAAAUUCGGUCCACGAUUUCGCCUUCCUUGCGAAUCUUUCUCUUCUUCCUUCCACACGGCUUUUAAAUACUCGUUCCAAUAAUAAUCGAGUAAAAUCACGUCCCCCUCUUUUUCAUCGAGAUGUAUAGAUCCGUUUGAAAAAAGUCGAUUCGAGAAAAAGGAAGAAGAGGUAAAAUUGGCGAUAUUAAGAGAGUCGGGUUUGAUUUUCUUCGGGCGCAUUUCUUCGGUAGACCCGUAGCAUUUCUCGUCCGUGUUCGAGGUCGCGGCGUUGAGCGUUACGUGUCUGCGGAAGACAGGAUCGGGCAAUUUAUCAAUCCACGGAGCGGGAGAAACGACUGCUGGCCAGGCGGGUAGGUAAUUUAACAAGAUUGAUGCGAAGCCGACAUGCCACAGUUUCGCAGCUCGCGAGAAGGGGCCGGUGUCGGCGAUGUCGGCGGUGACGUCGGAGGAUUCCGGGAGAGGAUGAGGGAGAGGAGAGAGGUAAAACUAGACGCGUGAGCGACUGGUUAUUAGGGGCGCGGAACGUUGAAACAAUGCCGCGAGUGACGGAGCCGGUUGCCAACGUCGCCUUCCACCGCUUUCGCCACCAAAAUCCUCUUCUCCCGGUUUAUCGAUCCAACUCGUUCGAACGAAUUUCGAAUCGUUCGAGAAAUUUGUCGUCCUUCGGUAUCUCUGCGAGUCCAUUCGAAAAGUCAAAGUUUGGGAAAGAAGGAGCGGAUAGAGGCAGCGGCUACGUUUUAAACGUAUUCGAGGGGGGAGGGGGAGGGGAAAUUGGCCGCGAUAUCGGCGCCAAUUUAUCGCCGUGGGAUAGUGGAAAGUUGCGGCGAUGGCAUCCGCGGAUGGCUCCGCAAACGCGCCAGUUGUCGUCGCCACGGUAACGCAGAACCACUCGCGACCGCCAACAUUUGAAUAAUUCGGCCGUUUGCAAGCCAACUUACAACGCCAUGCGCAUACACCCGGAUCAUGGCCGCUACUUACCGCUCCCCGCACUUUUCCAACCCGUUCUCGCGUCCCGUGAAACUGCACGUGUUUUCGAAACGCUUCUUUCCACCGUCCGCUUUACGAUCAUAUACGCUCGAAAGACCAAAUCGACCAGAAACAGGAUCGAUCGCUCCCCCAAACUUCCUUCUGCGUUAUAUUUUUCAACCAUUUUUCGUAUCCCUCGACAACGUUCGUUCCUGUCUAUCGACGAUUAGAUAUUCGGUAAUUCACGAUUCACGUUGGAAAUGCGGAAGAGUAAAUCCUCUCUUCCGUCCACGCGCGUGUGUCUGGAAGGAAAAAAGUGAUAUUAUUUUGGAAGUGGAAAAAAUGGUUAGAGAAGGUUAAAUAGAGCGGGUCCAAAAGUAUUUAUCUUAUGUAAAUGAUGCGCAUUGGCUCGAUUAUUAAACGGGGGAUAAAGUUUAAGUCCGUUCGUAGCUGGCACAGUUUUGUCAGCACGAAUUUACAUUCGGAUGGCGCUAUCUAAUCCCCGGUAAGUUUAAAAAAUUUACGACUUUCGGUAAAUCAUGGCUGCUUUACCCCGGCAACCGAACGGUGCCGUGCGUCUGAAUUGUUUAUGGUUCCGCCAUAAAACAAUGAUACGAGAGAUUAUAAGUCAACGAGUGGCAAAACUUCUUCUAUCGUCUCGUUCUCGAAAUUACGAUACCUUCCCUUACCAUCCGUUCUUCCAUUACUAAUAAUUAAGAGAUUUAACCCUUUCCUAACUUUUUCCAUCUCUUCAAUUUUAAUAAUCGCGCAUUAAAUACGCGCGGGAUCGAUAACAGAUAUCGUCGCAAAGUUCACACGCGUAUAAAUGAUAGCUGUCCAUAUUCGAGGCGUAUUCAAUUUCCUGCGUCGCAUCCGAUAUUAUUACGUGGAACACGAUGAACGGGAUUUUCGAUUUUUUCCCAAAGAAACGAACCAUUUCGCGCCUCGUUCUUCCCUCCAUUUUUCCCGCCAAACGAAGCGAAGGAUAAAAGGGUAUAUAUAUAUAUAAAUAUAUAUGUAUAAGCGAGAAUAUAGGCGAGUCGAGUCGAUUUAAAGUAGAGUCAGGCCGGGUUGUUCGAGUUGAACGUUCUUUCCUCUCCGAGCGUUGUUACGCCACUGAGUCGUAAUUUAACCGGAGCAUUUAUGGCAUUGUUGUGAAGCAGUGCUUGGCGUCGUCUUAUAAAACCAAUUUCGCGGGUAUUAUGCAAGCUGUCACUCCCAUAGGUGAGUUAUGGCAAACGUAGCCUACAGCACAAACACGUAUUACCAGUGUGCCAGAGUUUUUUUUUUCUUUUUUUUUUUUUCUUUUUAAUAUUUUACAACAAUGCUCGUUACGACGUGAAACGAAUAGCUCUUGUUUACGUCGUAUCGUAUGUACGCGAUCAAUUUAUUUUUGCUAAAUUUUCAUCAACGGUUUACGUUUACUCCCCGUCGUAUUUCAUUUCGCAACCAUUUACUUUCCACCAACUUUCCCUCGUUUCGAUAUUUUUUCCUCCUUCUCUUCUUCUGUUUAUCCGUCUAAAAUUCGUUGGGGAAAAAUACGCGUUUUUAGUAAUCGACGAGGGAAUUAUACUCUACGCCGCUGAAUAUCUUUUAUCUUUUAACGCGUUAUACGGCGUCACGAAUGGAUUCACAAAAUGCGUGUAAUAUAGGAUGGGAGUAGUGGUGGUAAUAAUAGCAGUGAUGGCGUUUCCCGGACAUCUAUCGACGAACAAUAAAGCAGCGUGUACAUACGUGUGCCGGGAGUGGAAGGAAAACUAUCCGAACGUCGCGUUCAACUCCAUUGGAAUAUACGGCGCUAUAUCCGGAAUUUCGUUCCAGACCGUUAAGACACUAGAUUCCACUUUAUCGGAACCGUAAUGGUUAUAUAGCUGUUAAAGUUGCCCCUCGUACAACUUUUCCAAUCUUAUCUCCGCGUAUGGCUUCUUCCUCCCUCCCUGUCCUUCCCCCUCUCUUUCCCCCCCGUCCCGGGGAAAAGCGGAAAGGAUUUAGUUAAAUUGGACUGCGCGCGAGGAGUUGUCGGCGAGAUUUGUUCGGGCAUCGGCGGAGAGCGCUGACCGUUGUAAAAGCGCUCGGGACGGGAGGAGAAAUGAAGAGGCGACGGCGUCUUUCUCCUUUCUUUCUAUUUAGGGUUGCCAUCGGUGACCGGCUUGUCGAUACGUGCUCGACAUCCCUAUUCCAUUCCUAUCCCCACCGGUAAAAACUCGAAAUUGUACUCUCCUCCUUUUCCUUCUCCUUCUUCUUCGCGAUCGCUUUCCGAUUUCUUCAACUUUAUCCCCCCGUUUACCGUGCCACGUUAUCUCGACAUAGCCCUUUCUUAAAAAUCUCUCGAAACGUUUGGAAAUAAAAAAAGAGAUUCGGAUCAAUUCGAUUCUUGCGUUCCUACGUUUUUUGCGCAAUGACGCAACGGGGAGGGGAGAAAAUUUCGACCGAUAAAAGAUGUUGGAUGGUUCCUAGAAACUGAUAAACGUUGCCAAAUACUCUCCGGUCUAUGCCAAUAAUGUUGGCAAUAAUUUCACCGAGGCACCGAUUAAAACCAGUCGACGUAUCUAAUUGCCUGUCGCGCAAUCAUUCCGCAAUUUAUUUUCCGCACGCUGAAAACUCGCAGUCGCGAUACCCGAUAAUUUUUCACGCGUCAAGAACCCGGGCCCGUUAAUGUAAGGCAAAUUAGCGACGUGGAGUAACGUUUAUUCCGAGACAACGUGCAAUUUUAAACACGAUAUUAUAUAAAGGGGAGGGGAGAAGAGAGAGAGAAAAAACAUUAAGAAGUUACACAUAUAUCAAACGCGUAAAUUAUUUAAUAAAGGCUAAUGGUAGAAAUCAGCAGGUACUCGAGAUCGCGCGUGGCAAGCAAUUAAUUCCGUUCGAAGUAAACUUUAUCCUCCGUCGAACGAUCGCAACAUUUGUGUUUUCUUAUUAAACGCGAUAUUUCAUCAGAGGAUGGACGUGGUAUUAACAUUAGAUAGCCAUUAAUUUCCUCCACGUCACUCGCGAUUCAAACGUGAGAUAUCGUGCCGUUGAAUUGAUUACAAUUCGAAAUCUCGUUCCUGCAAUUCUCAUUUCUCUCCUAGAUUUCGUGAAAUUUUGCAAAAGAAGAAAUAAAAAAAACUCGCGAAAGAAUCGAUCUAUGCCGAGAGAAAUCCGCGUCGAUGGAAAAGACAGGCGUAAUGGGGCGAGAAUCACUUAACCCCCCGGUCGAUGGGAGGCGAGCUUGCGUUAUUCAAUUCGCGCUUAAGCCAAGGAUAAUAACAUCAGCCGUUGGGCAGGAGGCAGGAGGCAGGAGCGGUAGGCGGCAAAGUCAAGGGCUGACGUAGCGGUGAAGAUUUACGGGCACGGGCCGGGGCAUGCAUCCUGUAUGAAUGUCGGGGCAGCUUGUAAUAAUUCAACUCCGCGGCCACACCUCGGCCACUUCCCGUCUGCAGUCUGGCAGGGCACGACCACCGAGCGGACUGCUGCUGCUGCUGCUGCCGCUGCUGCGGAGAGGUUUCCGGUAACUGCGCGCUCCGCGUCUCUCUCUCUCUCUCUCCUUCCUUCGUUUCGCUCCGUCUCCACACCCACGCCCCCCAACCGAGAGCCACCCUUAUCCGAGAGAGCGAAGAGCUCUGAUAUAUCGGCCGCACACAUUGCACUGGAUGGAACGCAAUAUGUCCGCCGAGAAAGGCAAUAACCAUUAGGUCCCGAGAAAACUGCCCCAUUUCAAACGACACGAACGGUCGAAUAUCAGGAAAUUUAUAUCUGGUAGCCUUCGCUCUCUCUCUUUCUCUCUCUUCCCUCCUUCGUCCCAUUCGUCGAGGAGAGGGAGAGAGAAUACGCGUCGCGUUCGAGAAGAGGUUAUAAACGCGGAGGCAAAAGUUUUCUGCGUGGGACCUCGCAUAGGCGGGACGAAACCGGAUAUCGAAUAGAGCGGUGGUCACGCGCUCUUUACCGAUUUCCUCCCCCUUUUUUCCUUUCCUCGCCUCGCGCUUUAUCCUCCUCCUCCUCCUCCCUUCUCGCGAUAGGAAAUCUGGCGAGCCAGACGCGAUUUCGUUAUUUAUACGAUCGAUAAAAGAUAAACGGGCGAUAUAUAAACGCGGCGGAUUUAUGGCGGAAAGCCGGCGCGAGAGUGGUAGGCGUAGCUCGAUCAUCGCGUCGAUCGCGGCAGAGAUAUAUCGGCGGGGGAUAUACGAAACGUAAGAGGCUCUCGCUCGGUGGAAAUUUUCUAGGGACGAUUCUCGAAAACUCGGGGAAAUAACUCGGGGGUUACUGCUAAUCGGUAAAAGGAGAGCUCGAGGAUAUUAGAGAGCGGAGUAGUAUCCGCGGCACGUCGUAACGUGGAUCGAGCGCACGAAGGCGGCGGGUCUGGUGCAGCCAGAAAUUGCUUUUCCCCUAUAAGGCGCCAUUAUCACGCACCAUCUUGUUCGAAUGGCUUCGUAAAAUGCCAAACUGGGAACUCGGUAUUGCUGUGUCCAGCGCUGCGGUCAGCUUCGACCGUGGCAAAAACUCCUCUCCCUUCCCCUCCCCUCCCGCCGCAGUAACACGAUUGUGCGGCGAAAUUGUGGUCGCUCUUUCUCCACCUCUCUCCCUCCUCCUUUACAUCCUUCCCUUCCCUCCGACGCGAGGUAAGGAACCGGUGCUUUUCUUCCAGGGUGUUCGGGUGUAGUGGCGAGCGCGAAUACCGGGGGCACCGGUUGGAGCCGAGAUAGAGCGGAUAACUCGACGUAAUAUCACCGGGGAACUAUCUUACACAUGCCGGCCAAAACGUAACGGUACAACUUUUGCCAAAUGAUGCCAUUCGUUUAAUUUCUUGGAACGACCGAGCCGACGUUUCCCGCCCGAAAUAUUAAUAACGCGCCACGUCCACCGCCAAAAUUCUACGCCGAAAUUUUGUCACGCUUCUCUCCUCUUCUAGAUCUGUCUAGAAUUAGAGGACUCCGAUAUUACGACGAUGCAAAUUGACGAGAAUUCAGAAGAAACAACAGGUACGAAUAUUCUUCCGUAUCGCGGCAAUAUCGUCCACGAUCGGAACGAAAUCGAAAAACUUUCGAUCCUCGGAGGAGCUAUCGUGACAAACGUGGCCAAUAAACGCCGACUCGGUGGUAUCGAGCUAGAAACGCACCCUUGAGAUGCGCCCUAAGGUUGACGACUUAAAAAGACCAUAAUAUCCCACCCUCUCUCUCUCUCUCCUUUUAUCGUUCGACGCGAUGAAAGAAUCGACGAAAGGAAAAGGAAGAAAUUAAAAACGUUAAAACGAGAACGACGACAGGGUCUAAAAAUGAUUAACCACCGUACGUUACACGCUACUAAACUAGACCGAUGCCGAUGGGGUGCGUGGCUCGAGAGACGGAGGUGCUCAGCGUGAGUAUUGAGACGUUCAUUAGCGGCGGGUACGCUCUCAGCGUGAGUCAAUAGGGACGAUGGCGUUACGCGUCAGAGAGAGAGAGAGAGAGGCGGCAUUGAUAGUUGAUGAAAGGUUGUCCCCCGUGGUGGCUUUAUACGUACAGAUAGAUGUACUAUACGAGCAUACCCGUGACCCGUGUCAGCCCUCUCCCUCCUCUGAAUUAUGCUCGCGGCAUGCGGUUCGAUCGAACGCACGCACACACCAAUAUCCUCUCCUCUCCUCUCCUUCUUUUUAAGAAAAGAAUAUAUAUCCUUCGUUUCCUUAUCGCCGGGAAGAGGGUCUCGAGAGCCGCGACACGUCGUCGAUUCGUCUCUUAUCCGUCUCUUCGUCCGGAUAAGACAGAGUACUCGGUCUCUUUUUUCGUUCCAGAGGCGGUCGCUCCACAUAGCCGGAGCAUCAUUAGCCUCGCAUUGUACUCGCAACACGCAUACCUACUCGAGGUAAGAGUUACCGCGACACCCGCUGCGCCACGGAGAUCUGCGAUAGAGUUAAUGAUGCUGGGACCGCGGCGAUUUAACAAUAAGCCGCAUUAUUUACAGUCGGCUCUCGGCUCCAUUACCACCGGUUCUGUGUCCGACUCACCUGGUCCUCCCUUCUUUCGCCCUCCCUUUAUCCUCCCCCCCUCCCGUCGGCGGCGGCGGCGGCGGCUCGCGUUACCUCGCCGCAAAUGCGCCCGAUAUUAAAUCUUUGCAAUCAGUCGGCACCUACGCCUUCUCCUCCGUGCGUAUUUACGCUUCGAUUCGAGGGAACGAGAUGGCCAUUCGAAUAAAUCGAACGUUGUGACAAUUGUGAAUCCGAAUUGUAAAUUAUCUCUCGAAGAGGACGACUCCUUCGAUUCGUUAAACUGUCGGCGAUAAUUGCUGGGCGGAGUUUCGUCGGCGGCAACGCUUUUAGGAAGGAUUUCAAGUAGCGAAACGGGGCGUGAAUCUUGUUAUUUUAGAUUCGUCCCUUCCGCUUGAAAGGAGGAGGGGAAGGAAAUGUCCUACGAAAAUGAAAAGAUACGUUGGCAAAUGAACUUUUAACCGGAUAAACGCGCAAGAAGAUAUACGUAUAUGUAUGUAAAUUCGUGGUACACGCCAAGUUAAUAAGAGCAACAACGCGAUAAUAACUGUUGGGGUUUCGAGUGGAGCAAGGUUUAAUUUUGGGUAAAGCUUGAUAGUCGCCGAGGGAGGUUGCUCGUUACACCUUGGGCAAACCGUGGUGGCUAAAACGGUACACGCGACAACACGCUUGGGAAAUACCGUGGCCGAGUUUCGAUCUUAAGGAUUUCUCGAUUUCAUCCACCAUUUAUUCGUUCUUCAACCCUCUUCGUAUUACUCCUCUUUCGUCCAAUCUUCCUCUCUCGCUCGAGCGGUCGUGACGUUUCGAGGAAAGAAAGAAAGAAUGAAAGAAAGAAAGAUGGUCGGAACGCGGCGUAUAAAUUUUUUUCUCCCCCCCCGAUGGCAGGAUAGAAACGAAGCCGGUGAACGCUCAACAGCUGUUUCUGAUAAAAAGCACGCGGUGUUACGGUGUCAGGAACAGCGAACCAUUCCUAACCGGAUCUAAACUUGUCCGUUAGCAUUGGCAUUUAAGACGAAUCCAUUCGAAGCAACGUGGAAAACUAUGCCGUAAAUUUCGAUUAAUUGCCAACAGGUUCUGGUCGAGAAGAAGGAAAAGAAAAAAAAAAGGAAAAAAGACGAUUAAAAACGACUCGACGACAACUCGUAAGAAGAUCGAAACUCGACGAUGACCAAACGGGGAGAAGAUCUGGAUACAUCUCGUUGGAACGAUGAUAAAUGUCAGCCAGGAUGCCGAAUAAGCGAACCAGGGACGAAGAUCUAGCGCUAACUAUAUUCACCUUGUCAAGUCAUUCCGACUUGGUAAACACACCACGACAAGUAAUGCCUAAGAUUUUACGGUGACUCGACUUACGACAGAAGCGGCUGUUUAUCACGGUGUCAGAGUGACGCUCGUGCCGUUCAAGACGAUAAAACGAAUGAGCUAUGCGAGGAACACUCUGAGAAAUGGUGUGCCGCUUUCGAGGACCUUUUGUUGCGACACUGAUUUUAAAUUAGAAUUUAUAGGGUGCCUGAAAACGUUUCGACGAGGCCACUGUAUUUACUCGAAGAAUACGUUUAUCCCGAUAAUCUUUUCCUCUCUCUCUCUCUCUCUCUCCUCCUCCUCGUUUUCGUCAACCGAUAUAAACCUGUCCACCGUGAAAAUUGUCACUGCAUCGAACGAAAUAAACUAGUAACGUAAUCGUUACCACUUUCGAUACGGCGACUCUUUAUUCGAAUUUUUAUUUGUUUCUCGAAAAUUUCCAAAAUUUCCUUUCCCUCCUCUCGAAAUAUCGAGUGGGACGGGAUCCGUGAUUUAUUUUCGUCGCACGGAUAUCGAAUCGAAACAACUGGCAACCGUUUGGCAGCGAUUUAGAGCGUGAAAAUUUCAAUCAUGUUACACAUUAGGGGCAUUCCAAUCAUCCGGAUCAGUCGUCGACGCGUUUUAAGCCGCGCAUCAAUCUGUUCGGUUCGAUCGAGGUGCGUCGCGAUGAAAAGACGAAUGCUUACGCGGAUAGGUGCUCUGGCCGCGCGCCAAUGCUGUGCCACCGCUGCGUUUAUUCCGGCCAACUGGUUCGUGCAACGCAUCCUUACCCUCUCCGCCUUUUAUUCCCCAACUGUUUCACCUUUAUUCGCAGCUUAUUCGUGUAUUAAACCUCCGAGAUCGAUGAAACUCCGUUUCGUUUCGUUUCCUUGUCGAAUAAAAUUAAUCAAUUAUUCGUUCUUUAAAGUAGAGAGGAAGGGAUAAAAAUAAAUCGUAUCCCGAAACGUAUUUAUAUAUUUCGAAACAACGUUUCGAAGCGUUUGAAAAUUAUCCAUUUGUUAUUACGUUACGCGCGCGAUUAUGAUGAAAUAUAAGAUGCAAUUUGUGGGACGCAUUAAUGCAAAUGACCCAAAUAUGACAGUUAACUGUUUAUAGGUCGCGAUAAAUAAUGGGCAUUUGUUAACGUGACAACGCGAACAUUAUAUGCAAGGAUCGAUGUACGGUUAGCUUAGCGUUCAUUUCUCUCCAUUAAUCACAUUCAUGAAAUCCAAGUGUGCCUAUGUAAUGGCCUAUUAAUAGGAUAUAAUGGCCAUUACGUUCGCUGACAUGCCACUUAUUGUCGGCGACUGAGUAAUGCGUUAAACGUGGGAUCAUACCCGACCAAAGUGUCACUUUUAUACAUUAGCCGAUAAAAAAUAUAUUUUAUAAAAACGACGAUACGUUGGACACGUGUUACAAAAUGUGUAUUCGAUCGAAAACACGUUCUUCUUCUAUCGUUCUUUAUCAUCGGCAUCGUUUUAAAAAUUAAACGAAAAUUGGCAAAGUUUCGAGAUUACUACAUCUUCUUUCCGUUUUAUUCCGCGGAUAGAGAAAUAUCCAUCCGUGGAUUAAAAGGAAAAAAAUCGAAAAAUCUCCGUUCGAUUUCGUUGGACAAACGAUCCAAGUCGUUUCGAUAGUUUUUUUUAUCCUUAUCACGCCACCACCACGCCACGUUUUCUCUUCGCGGCGUCGAGAAAUAUAACUCGAGCCAAGAAAGUGCAAACGAUAGAAGUCCUCACGCAGUAUCGAGAUCGCGAUAAAUUUUUCCGGGCGGUGGACGAGGGUGGCGGGCGUAUCUUCUUUCAGAAAAUUGUACGGCCGCUCGUAAAGAUAAGUACUUAAUUCCCUGUUUUGCCGGAAAUUGUUUUUCUCCGCAAAGGAGUCCAUUUCGCUUUAUGAAUCGCUCAGCCGACUUUACGCGACGAGUAAAAGCUUAACACCACCGCGAAAAGCUGUUCUCUCUCUCUCUUUACCCUCGGCUUUCCACCACCUGGUAUUCAAACUCGACGACUAUAUUUCCCCUCCUCCUCCUCCUCCUCCUCCUCUAUCUUUAUCCUUGCCUCUUUUUCUUCCUUUCCUUUCCUUUCUUUCUUUUUUUUUUUAUUACUAUUUUUCACGCUUCUUUAUAGAUUAUCAAGUUGUAUAAUCGCCUUCUCUAAUUAUUAUCUUUUGUAUUACAGCUAUCGUAAACUUGAAAUAACGUUACCCGUCAAACCGCUCCAAGCAAUCAUCGUAAAUUACAAAUAGCUGUAUUAUGCUUUCGUUGAUCGCGCACGGUUCUAAGAAACAUUUAGUAUCGUAUAUCACGUGGAACGAUGGUAGGUAGGUAGAUAGGUAGGUAGGUAGAUAGGUAGGUAGGUAGGUAGGUAGGUAGGUAGGUGAAAGUGAAGUCGAGGAACGUAUCCUUCUUCUUUCACCGACUAUAUCUUAAUAAUAUUUAUAAAAGCUCGAGAGAAGAAUAUUCGACUUUGGUGUAUCGUUGUAUUAUUACGACGUUGUACGGCGCGAGAAACGAAAGUAUAAUGGAAAAUUGAUCCGCUUUUCUCGAUUCUCGUCCUCCUACGGAUAAUAAUAAGAACGAUUGUUGGCAAGAAUCGAUGAAAGAAGAAAAGAAAGAAAGAAGAAAAAUGUCGGUUUCUUACUUGUUAAUGAGAAUACCGUGGAGUCCGGCAAGAAAAGGUGGAGAAUAUUUCUACGCACACAGGUUAUUUCCCGCAAGGUUUUGAAAUGCUUCCCCGUAAAACCGGCAAUCAGUCAGUGACUAAUGCUACAAGACUACGGUAGAAAGGCUUCGGUUCUUUGACGCGAGUACGCAUAGAAAUAAAGUGUCGAUGGAAACGAUGCUUGGCGUUGCACCGAGACAUUAAUAGCCUUUAGACACGGAGUAUUUUAUUGCCGGUAACCUUUCAGUACGUGCAAUCCACCAGUUCUGCAGCGUUGGCAACCGUUACCGUCCGAAGGUUCCACAGUUCCUUACAGGCAAAACGUCGGACGAUGCAUACUUAAUGAGCGACUCAAUACCAUGCUUUCUUAAUGCAUGUCGAUUCGAGUAAUUAAUUAUUAUGCCUGACACACGUGAAAUAAGUGUUUGACGUCGGUAUAAAAUUCAUCUAAAUCACUCACGAUUGAUUUCUACGAGUCACGCAUUACCAAUGAUACUACGUCAUUUUAGAUUUACACCACUCUCGGUGUAUAUCGAAAAUUAAAUGUUUACUCGAUUAUUACGCCGUACGCCACUUUUCCUUCGUAUAUAUUAUCCAUCUCGUUAAAUCACUCGGAAUAUCCAUCUAUUACCCAGCGAUGAAAUCUUCGUAAUUGGGCAUAGCAUACAUGCCUGCUUUUCUCUCUUUCUUUUUUUUCCACAAACCUAUUUUUCCUCUUCCUCCUUGUUCUUUUUUUUUUUUUUUUUCGAAUCGACGAUCUCCUCCCUGAAUCUAGCGUGGACCGCUAGAUGUGUCGAAUGGAAAAUCCAAAGAUUCCUCGUACGUUUCGUUCGAGCUUCGAUCAAACGAAGAGGUAUCCCCGGUAAUUGGACGUUAACGAAUAAAGAUAAUACGUGUAAUAAUAUAUACGAUACGCGCGCGGUUAAUUUUUAAUUAAAACCAGCCUUUGCAUCUCGUUAAUUUAUAUAUAUAUAUACACACGUUUAUUAUCGUUUUCUCAUCGUUCGUAUUCCACGUGACUGGUAUCGUCUUAUAUCGUACACGCUCUAUUAAUUUCUUAAAGGACGGUAAGAUAGUUUGUCUCGUAUUACACGAUUCGUAAUGAUAUACCCGCUUGUCCGAUACGUGUUAAAAGCGGUAAUUCAUUUUCACCGUGGUCUUUUUCUCUCGAAAAUCUUCAUCAAGCACGCCAACUUUCUCGUAUAUAUAAAGUAUAUAUAAAGAAAAUACGGAUAAAUAGAUCAUCGUGCAUUUACGCUGCCACUCGUGACAGGAAUUAUGAAUAAAUUUCGAAAUAACCUGUUAUUAACAUCUAUUAAUCAUCGGCUUCCGUGACGUUGACGUUCGUUCCUACCAACAUAAUUGCACCACCGAUGUGUUUAACCGAAAGAUAAAGAUCGAGAGAUAUUACGUAACGCGCUUCGUUAUUUCUUUAUACACCUCGAUCCUCCCCCCUUUUUACUUACUUCGAACGAAACGUGGAAACGCGUCUCGGACAUUUCUUUCUCGAAACAACGAUACGAUACGCCUGUCGCUGUGGAAAACACGCGACAAUUUAUUCGCAAGUGGAAUAAUAUACGCGUUUCACGCGUAAUCACACGCGUGAAGUUAGCUAAACUCCGACUAAUCUAGGAUCGUACGAGUUGGUAAACGAUUGUAUAUAAUACGAUUCGAUCGACGAAAUUUGUACAAUUGAAGAAUUUUCGAUAUGGAUAAAUAGUUAUUUACCUUGCGCGAUAUGUCUCGUGUAUUUAUAGUUGGGAACGUUGACGUAUUACACGCGGCCAUUAAUGGUGAAAAUGUCACAAAGAGAUUUAUCGAACGUUAUUUACCAUUAUUGUUGUGGAUAUAGUUGUCGCGGUGGACGGAUAGCGUGGAUGGUAUCGCGAGGAAAAACUCGUGGCUCCAUCACUCAUUUCGCGCUACGCGUCAUACGUGUUACAAAAUCCUUCGUAAACAUUUAUCCCCGGUGAUGGUUUUUCCGAUGUUGGACGGAGUUUUCGUUCAGAAGUAAAGAGGGAGAAAGAAAGAAAGAGAGGAAGAAGAAUGGAGCAUUCGAAUGAUCGAAAAGAAAAGGAGAGAGAGAGAGAGAGAGAGAGAUGGAAGAGGAAAAAGCGGUGCAGACGGAAGCAGAGGUUCGGCGGCGCGCGAUAAAUUAAUGGGCGGUCGUCAUUGCGCUCAUACACGGCUCGUACAGGCAUGCGGACACAUCGUAACGCAUCGUUUGUCUUCUCAUUAUAAAUGUGAGCCACCGCUCUACCGCACCGGUGACAGUCGGCCGAAAUAAAUUGCCACGCGUUACGUUUGUACUUUCGUUUUAUAUUUAAAACGACUACACAGGGGAAGGCUCGUGCGGUCCCACCGCCUCCAGACAAAUUGCCCAUUUGCAUAAUGCCGUUAUUUAUUAAUGAUCGCGAUACAGCCACUUCCGAUCCUACAUAAAUACCCACCUGCGGCGUCGGCCAAUCGACACAACCUUCUAAUUCGACGCCCGCUCCACAAAUUUAUAUUACCGAUUCGUUCCUCCUAUUAUUUCCACCUUUGAAACGCGCAUCCUUUCCAACUCACGAUCCCUUUCUCGUUCUCGACACCGAUUAAUAAACAACAAUAUUCGCGAGGAUGAGAAGAAAUAUUUCGUAUCGAAUGAAACGCGUGAUCGAAAGGAACAAAGUUUUGCUUAGCAAUAGAACGCAUUAUUUUCUAUGUAAAACGGAUCAAUGAAAUAAUAAAUCGAAGAAGAAGAAGAAGAAGACGAAUGGAAAAGCGCGCACGAAUAAUUUCGAAAGUUUUUUUCCUUUUGCGAAUUUUUCUUCGUUCCUCAUCGAGGAUUUAUGUCGACGAGUUUCACGUACAACGGGUUUUCGUACGAAUAUCGUAGCCUGUGUCAGCUUCCUGGUUACGCGAAUUAUAUAUAUCGAUAACAGAACGAGCAUCUGGACACGUGGAAAAAGAAGAUCGAAGGCAUAAACGCGAAAAACCUGUUCGUUAAAUGUAACGCAUCGCGUGUCGUUCGAGGAGAUCGGGCAGAAGAAAUAUGAAAUGGGACGAGUAUUUAUGGCGAAGAAAGAGAGAGAAGAAAGAGAGAGAGAGAGCGUUGCAAAAAAGGUGUACGGGUACGCGAUGGUUGAUAUAAUGGGUAAACGAAAGGAGAAUGGCGAAGGGAAAGAAAAGGCGAAAUGUAAAAUAUCGAGGAAGGAGUGGAGUGUACGUACGAGUGUCGGAGUUUGCGCGACUUGGUGGCGUAACCAAGAUAUACGACCGUUUUCCCCCAAAAAAGUGUUAAGGAAUUAUGCUUCGCGGAGUAAAUGAGAUGUGUCUGCGCCGGGACAUAGAUCACGGCCGCGCUAUCCGUUCUCACCACCGUGGAAAUAAAUACGAUUUUCUCGACGGCGAAAGAGACUAGGGUUUGGAAAGGAGGAGGAAAGGAGGUGGUGGCAGUUGGAACGGAGCAAGCGGAUGGAGCGAGAGGAUGGCACGAGUCGGAAGGGGAUAGGAGAAUAGGUCUCCUAGCGGGCCGCAUCCCGCGCCACAUCUUUCUACCCGACACACGAGGGAUCCAACGUAGCCAUUUCUCUGCCCCGUUAUACGCCUCCUAUAUACGUAUCUACUACCCCCCCAACACCUACCUACACCCGGCAAAUAAAUUGAUCCAUUACUCAACCGAGCAGUCAUCUUCCUUCCUUUCCCUCCCUUCGCUCUUCUCUCGCCGCCGUCGCCGCCGUCGUCGCCACUACCACCAUCACCACUACUACCGCCACCACCACCGCCCUUUUUCCUUCGCGCUUUUCCGGGAAUGCUGCCAGAGAUUCGGCAAAGCCCCUUUCACGCCCUGUUGCAGAGACGAUGAUACGCCGCGAUUUACUCACCCGAGUCCGUCUCUUCUCACCCACGGAACCGGGAAACCGGGAAAUUGAUGCCACUUCCAAAGGAUUCACCGCCGUCUUAUGCCAAUUUAUUCCGUAUCAUCUCGAUUUCACCUAUAUUCGAAUUAAUCUUUCCUUCCACCGGGAUCUCUCUCUUAAAAUUGUGAUCAAUUUGUCGCAAAAAGUUGCAUCGACUUCACCCUUUUGCUCUAAGAUGUGACGAUCCUGUUAAACAGUUGAGAGUGGAUUCGCGGAAAAUGAAUUUUGCUGAUUCGAAUUAAGAAAGUAAUGGAUCGAGAUCGCGUCUCGGUCGGUAACUAAUGUAUCCGUCGAUGUCCUCCUCGGCCACGUUUCAUUAUCCGGGCUUAGUUUUCUGUUGCUCGCAAUCAACAUCCGGAUCAUGUUUUAACGACUAUUUCGCGUGUGUAAAUUGGUAUAUAAUUCAGUCUCGCUACAUGAUUUUCCUUGUGCUGAUGAAAUGACUUACCGCUUUCAUUGUUACAUACGUCCAUCCGCGUUGGUUAAUUAAACAAGAGAUUAAUUAACGCGCUUCGAAUUUCCUGUUUUAUACAAUUGCUAAUUUGUAAAAUAUCAAACCGCGACUCGUUAUCUCGGUGGAACCGAGAGAGAUGCUUUCAAGCUUCGUUGCUCGAAAUAAAGUAUCAAACUUUUUUAACUCCGGGGUAUACCUGAUACCUUUUAAAUAAUACUCGCCCGAUGAUUUACGGAUUCUCUUACGGAUAUAUUUUAAUCUUAAUUAUCGUUUCGCACAAUUUCGAACACACCGAACACGAAUUCUCUCGAUAUUUCUUAUUAUCUCGCGUUUCUCUCGAAAAAAGGAGGGAGAGAGAGAGAGAGAGAGAGAGAGAGGAAAAAAAGAAGCAUAAACAUCAUACGCGUCAAUUUGCAUAUUUAAACGUCGAAUAAAUUUAAAUAAUCGGCCUCUUUGGAAAACCAAUUAUCGUUAUUUCUUUUUUUUCUCUCUCCCUCUCUCUCUCUUUUUUUUUAUUUUUCGCGUUAAUAUCACGAUCCCGCGUUAUUUAUUGUGCACGUAUAUAUCCACGGAUUGGAAUAAUUUAACAGGGAAUAGAAAGCAAAUGGAUGGAAUAAUAAUUUUUUUCCCCGAUUCGCGCGUAAAAUUAUUAUCCUCCCCCCCCCCCCCUCUCUCUUUCCCUAUUCUUUUUUAUCGAACGACCACUAUCGAACGAUUAAACCUGUAGCUGUUUGCAUAUCCGGUUUAUGUUUCAAUCUGGUUCCAUCAAUAUGAAUAAACACCGGCAUGUGAGGUAGCUCGGCGCUGCAUUAAUAUGUAUUGGCAAUAAAUCGAUAUCGAUAAUUAAAAUCUGUGCCUGCCAUAAGGCCUUUGGACGUGAGCGCGUUUAUAUAAAAGUUCAAUUUGUUAUAUGUAACUGCGCGAGAGAUGACUAUAAAUAUUGCGUUACCCUUUUUAACCGGGGCUCGUAAAUCCCCGUGAUUUAUAUCCCCCCCCCCCUCCCCUCCCUCCCGUUGACUGUCCGUAAAGCGUGUGAAGGGGUCGAGGUUUUACGUAUCGUUGCACGUAUCGUCCCACGAUUUUCAUAUUUCUUCCCGCCAGAGACAAAAGCCAGUUUUCGUUUUCCGUUUAAUUUACGCGAUCGAUGAUAACGCGCGAACGUCAACGCGCAUUUACACACCGCGAGAUAAAUACCGCGAGAAACGUGAUCAUCACCGUCCAAUUAAUCCCGUACGUAUAUAUAAUUCCAAGAUCGAAAAUGGAUUCGCGCCGACCCAAGUUUAAAUCUGUCACGAAUCGAAACUUUUCAAUUUCCCUCUCCGUCUCUCUUUUAUUUAGGAAUAUCGAGCUGAUAAUUAAGGAUAAUUAAGGUAAAGGAGAAAUGAAUUCUUCGCAGGAUGGAUACGGAUAUUGGAUAUCGUGGGUGGGGCGAAAAAAUAUUUUCGCAGGCAGAUGCGUUGUAACGGGGCCAACGAGUUUGAACAUCAGUCACGAAAAAGAGAGAUUAAAAAAAGGAGGUAGGAGAGAAGACGAAAAAAGUCCGGGAGAUGGGUUGUCCGAAUGAGUGGGUUGAGCGAGUGAAUGACAGAUAGACAGCAACCAGACAGGAGACUGACAGUACGGCGGCGGGCUGACAGCUUGCCACUCUGCCGGCCGUUCGCAACAUCCAGUAUUACCGACUACCGUACGUGUUGAUCCUUGUCCCAUUCAUCGACAAAAAGCGAACCAACCCCCGAUUUCGUCCCAUCUCCCUCUCUCUUUCUCUCUCUCUCUCUCCAGGAUCGAUGAUCAUUUUUCAGGGAACAACCAUCGCCAACACCAGCUCGCUCCAGUUUUGUUAUUAAUAAUAUCUAUCUCUAUCUCUAUCCAUUUCCAUUUACGAGUAUUUUUUCUAUUUCCAUCGUACGAUCGCUCGAAACAAAUAUCGUCUCCUUGAGGAUUGAAACGAAAAGGAAUCGGAAAGUCGGUAUUAAAAGAUAUUAAUCUGGAGCUCGCGUAAAAUGAAUUACAGGAUUCGUUAGGGAGGCGUUAUCGUUGAAUAGGAGCGGCAGUUCCAAGAAAGUACGAAUUACUGUCAAAAGUAAACCAAAGUAGGGUAUACUUAUGACUACAAAUUAAGUAUAAUUCCGACGGUCGUAAUAACGUAACAACGGGCCGCUACGUAAUUAUUCGGCGUAAUCGGCAACAGCCCGGAGCGGUGUACUUUAACUACCUUUUAAAAUUGCGCUUAAAUUACAGUACAUACGAUAUUUGAGGAAUAUCAUUCACGUGCACGCCGCUAAAUAUAUUUUCACGUACGGAGGAAGGUGUUUGGGAUAUCGCGUUGAAAACACCGCGUGUGCACGUUUCGUUCGAGAUAAAUUAAAUGAAUCGCUGUGUAAAAAAAGAAUUUGCCGUAUUUUCAACAUAUUGCGUACGUUCCUCCUGUAUAUUUACCGUCCUUAUCCUUAGAUAAUCCAUCUAUUCACCUUUCUUUUUUCAACCGAACGUGUAAAUAAAUCUUACCGAGAGAUAUCCAUCGUCGAGAGAGAGAGAGAGAGAGAGAGUUUGUAAGCGAAGGAGGGAAAAGGAGGAAAAAGUAGUUGGACGAAUUCACGACGGAAGUUCUCGCGAUGAUGCGAGUGAGAAUAAUUAAUCAACGUUCGCUAGAAACGUACGUAUAUAAUUACGUUGGAGGAGAGGAGGGGGGGGGGGGCAAAACGUCGCAACCGAUUUAAUCGGUUACUCGCGAUCACGCUUGUUAGAGUUUACGAGGAAACGGAAGUACAAAAAACUCGCAAAUUAUGAAGAUAAACAUGCAGCCCGUACGUAAAAAAGAUUAUUAUCUCCUUUUCCACUCUUGCGUCUUGCUUUUCGUUAAAACUUGAUUUAUACUUUCUUUCGAAUAUGAGAUGCGAGAUUACCAUUAGAUAUCGUAAUUAUUGCUGAAUUAUUUUCCGCUUUACGUGUCAAUUAUAAUAACACGAUAUUUAUUCUUUCGAUUAAAUAUUUACGCCAGUUUGAAACUUAACGCGCUCGUUAAAAAAUAAAAAAAGAAAAGAAAAAUAAUAAUAACAACAACAACGUUUGUUUAACGUUAAUUAAAAGAAAGAGAGAGAGAGAGAAAAGAGAAGAAACGUUUAAUUUUCGAGGUCACGCGAGUUUCGUUACGGCUACAAAUCAUUCAACGCGUUAUUAUUCCUUGUUUCGUUAUUAUUCGCUAUAUUUUAACGAACGCGUUAUAUAUUCCCGAAAUAUACCUUUCUUUCGUCCCCACUUUUUUCUCUGCAACUUGGAUUUAUAACAAAUUUACAAAAUACACGAAUACAAGAAGAUUCGACUGCAGAUUUAUCAUUUCGCACAAACCGAUGACGUUAUAAUUGGAAAGGAAGAAAGCGAAGCGUUGCGAAACGACGACGACGACGGACGAGUCGAAGCUCGAAAAGCGGAGGAAACGAGAAUGGAAAGGAAACGGGGAAAUAAACGCAGGAGCUUAGAGGGAGGCGGCGAAGGAGAGGCGAAGCGGGCGCCGCGCGUCUCCCCCUUUUCCUCGCCGUGGCGUGCACACACACACACACACACACACACACACACACACACGUCUCUUCUCUUCUCUUCUCUCCUCCGCUCGCUAGGCAGGUGAGCAGCUCUCCGUUGGCUGUUCGUGGUGCGGGUUACCAUUAUGUCUACAACCUUGAAUUAAAAUGCCGUAUAAUGACACAGCUAGGCAGCCUGUAUAAUUUAUGUCCAUAAAAAUAAAAUCAUAAUUACAGAGGCGCGGACUGCGAAAAGACGGUAAUAAUAUGGCUGGCCGGUGUGCUCGUUGCGUGCUCAGCGCGUGUAUAUCGCGUUCGUUCCUUCGUUCCUCGAUGCUUCUCGCUCUCGUUAUUGUUACCGUUCCCGUUAUUCCGCUCCGUGUCGCAAUGCGUUUUGCGUUUUCGCGCACAGAUGCGAUAACAGGAUCGAUUAGAUGGGGAAAAAUGGGAUGUCGUUACGCGUGUCUGUCGCGAUAUCUGCGAACGCGUGAGAAAGAUAAGAAAGAAAGACAGGAGAAAAGAAGAAAAAGAUGAAUAUGUAUAUAUAUAUAUAUCGAGCGGAGGAGAGGAAAAUUAAUAAACGCGGAGGGGAAAAAUUAAUGGCGGCGAAAACUUGGGUUCGACGACAUUAAUCUUACGUGGCAAAGUGGGAAGGACGGUUGGGCUUUUCCAACUACGCGGCCAGAAAGAAAUCGUUUCAGCUCCGUUUCUCACCGUCCGCUCGUAGCGCGAAUCGUCAUGAGACUCUGAAACGCGAACGGAAAGGCGAUGCGAGAUCGCGUUGAUGAAUGCCCCCAUUACACGAACACCGCUAGUUACUCCUCGGAGAUAAACCGCCUUCAUUACUCACUUUCUGGCGUGACCUUAUUCCCCCCUACGGCCUCUCUCUCUCUCUCUCUCUCUCUCUCCUCCCUCUCCUACCUCCCUCCCUCCCUCCCUCCCCUCUACCCGCCUUCUUUCCAACGCUCGCUCUCCAUCCUUGCCUCUCUCACGGCUAUUAAGUUAACGCGAAUUAAUAACGCAGGCUUUUUCUAGUCAACAGCCGUUUUCUUGCGCCGAUAUACAGGUAUUUUAGCGGAUAAUAAAUUUUCACCUCGGGGGAAUAUAUAUAAUCCCCGCGAUGCGAAAGCGCAAGCAUCAAGGGAUGGCGCACUACUACCACUCUUAACAGAUUGGAUCGUUUGUCUUUCCUUUCGGGUCUUGCCCCGAACAACUGCGUUACGUUAUAGAUACGUAUAUUAAUGCGACGAUGCAAUUAUCAGUGGGUAGGUAGACACGACCUACUUUGUCUUUUUUUUUUACCGUUCGUUACACGGCUACGCGAUCAUUUUUCAACUUCUGAUUUACGGCUUGAUUAUCGAGAAGCGGAAAGUUUAUCGGUAUUCGUUAACGAGAGAGGUAAGCCGAUAAAUUUCCAAACGAUCGCCGAACGGCAAAACCGCUUUGCGACUUUCUUGCAGGAUCGAAACUGUACGAGUGUUCUUCUAACUUCUAACUUUUGUUUUUGAAAUCGCGCUUUAUUUUUCGAAUUUUAUUCUUACUUUUCUCUCUCUUUCUUUCUCCUCUUUGCUAAAAUAAUUAAUCACGAAGCUAGGAAGGGUAUCUCUGUUUUCCUUUCACGAUCAUCUUAUGUUCAGAGGAAACGAAAUUGUACCAAGUUUACGAAAUUUAUUCGUUUCGCAUUCUAAAUUCGCGCGCAUUUGUCAAUAUCGUUCAAAUAAAUAUCGGGCAAUUACGCUUAAUGGGUCACGAUACGAGUUUAAUGAAACCAGUACACGCUUAAUUGGAUAUUAAAUUAACGACCACGACGUGUGAAUCAAACAAAACACUGUAAAUCCGGUUAAAAGAGAAAUGAUAAUUUAUGUCUCGCUAGUGUAUUUUUGCGAUAAAUUAAUAUAUAUAUAUAUAUAUAUAUAUUUUUUUUAAUACCUCAUCGAUGCUUGCACUUUGAGAUAAUUCAUAGAUUAUUUACGAGCGAGCCUUUUCUUUUCAAAAAAGAAAAAGGAAACAGGAAGGGAAGAAAUUGGUAUUUAUCGAUACAUCUCGUAUAAACAAGAGUACCGAUAUAAUUAUACGAUAUAAUUACAAGGUUCCCGAAGAAAAAUUGUAUCCAUUUUCUUCUCCUCGUUUUAUUUUACAUCGAUACGUAUUAAUUACGUCGUUUAGCAUUUAACGUUUUCGAGUUUAGCCGUUCACAAAGAUCGUUCGCGCCUUUUCCCUUAUGAAUAUUUAUUCCCAUGAAUUUUCAUAAUUAUCGCUGGCGAUAAUUUAAUAAUAACGGCCAAUUAAUUACGAUCAGACCGUAGCAAUAUAAUCGGAUCAAGAUCUGUAUCCGCGAGGCAUAAAAUACACAUAUAUAUACAAUUUCGAUAUAUAUUUUCGAAAAACUCUCGCUCUUCCUUAAUAUCCUUUUCCCCGUUAUAAGGAGAGAGAAAGAGAAAGAGAGAGGGAAGGAUUUGGAAUCGCGAUAACGAAGAUAAAAUCGCGGGUAACGCGCGUGCGCGUCGCGUCUACCACGGAAUAUGCAAGAAUAUUUAACACGGGAGGGGGAUAGGGUAGGGAAUGGGAUGGCCGCAGAAAGAAUAUUUAACACGGCGCGGCGUGGCGCGACGUCGCGCAUACCCGUCCAUCUUCAUACGUCGUAGGUUACACGGUUACAUUAGUAGGAAUGUCACGAUAACGAACGCCGGUACACCGUCAGCGGUGGAGACGUCUUCCUGUUUCUGGGGGAGUGGGGCGGCGCGGGCGCUGCGUGGCGCGAAUCCCCGAGCCACGUCGGCCUUCUUUCGCCCUACGCCACUGCCUGUAUCCGAUAUUCCAGCCACGACCGCGAAAAACAAAACGCGCAGGGGAAUACGUUCCCCGCAUAUGCGUCUCGCGUGUUUCGCUCGCUGGAUUCAUUUUGGCCGGGACAUUCCGCUGUCACCGCGACGUUAUCGACCAUCGGUAAAACGUUUCGCCCGAUCGAUAAACCAUGAAUCCGCAAUUUACGGGAAACGCGAGCGAUUCGUUUGCGCACCCGCACCUUUUUUUUUUUCCCCCUUUUGUUCCGAUCGACGUGCAUAUUUUCCUCUCGUCUAAAAUAUAUGAAAAAAUAUUUCAGUACAGGCAGCGUAGCAAUGGAGAAGAAAAGACGAAUACGAGAUAUAUACGGAUACAGUAUUCGAUUCUCGUUCGACGCCAAUGCGGAAAGAGAGAGAGAGAGAGAGAGAGGGCAGGAGUAGAGUCGAAAUGGAAUAAACUAACCGUCGUUUUCCUGACGACAGGCGAUACGUCACUGUGACCAAUUCACAAUAGAGCAUUACACCCCGAGACCGGGACGACAAUAGUUAUCUCCGGGAUGUACGAACGUGUAGGUGGUUAUUAUUCGCACGCGCACACGUGUCACCGGAGCGACGGCGACAAGUAGCGGCAUUGGCGCUGCUUGAAACGCGAGUUUCGAGUAGCCGUUGCGGAAGCACCUCGACACACCGAGCUUCGCUCAAUUACCGUCCCACUUAAUGCACUCGCGCGGUGAUUCACCGCGUGCCACCCUCUCCUCCCUUCCCUCUUCGUCUUCCGUUCCGAAACCGGGUAAUUUUUCAUAUUCGCGUCUCUUUCACCUCUUCCUUAAUUCCAAUUAGACUCGUUGCUAAUUACCGCUCCGAUUACCAUCAUCGCCGAUGUAUAAA
Molecule: long non-coding RNA, 22762 nt
Organism: Apis mellifera (honey bee)
Lineage: Eukaryota; Metazoa; Arthropoda; Insecta; Hymenoptera; Apidae
Exons: 2
Source: RefSeq, a predicted model, not a curated record